AGUAGCGGCGAGCGAAGCGGGAAGAGCUCAAAUUUAUAAUCUGGCACCUUCGGUGUCCGAGUUGUAAUCUCUAGAAGUGUUUUCCGCGUUGGACCGCACACAAGUCUGUUGGAAUACAGCGGCAUAGUGGUGAAACCCCCGUAUAUGGUGCGGACGCCCAGCGCUUUGUGAUACACUUUCAAUGAGUCGAGUUGUUUGGGAAUGCAGCUCAAAUUGGGUGGUAAAUUCCAUCUAAAGCUAAAUAUUGGCGAGAGACCGAUAGCGAACAAGUACCGUGAGGGAAAGAUGAAAAGCACUUUGGAAAGAGAGUUAACAGUACGUGAAAUUGUUGGAAGGGAAACGCUUGAAGUCAGACUUGCUUGCCGGAGCUUGCUUCGGUUUGCAGGCCAGCAUCAGUUUUCCGGGGUGGAUAAUGACGGUUUGAAGGUAGCAGUCUCGGCUGUGUUAUAGCUUUCCGUUGGAUACGCCCUGGGGGACUGAGGAACGCAGCGUGCUUUUUGCGAAAGACUCGUCUUUUUCACGCUUAGGAUGCUGGUGGAAUGGCUUUAAACGGUCCGUCUUG
Molecule: ribosomal RNA, 562 nt
Filed under: Rhodotorula glutinis
Lineage: Eukaryota; Fungi; Basidiomycota; Microbotryomycetes; Sporidiobolales; Sporidiobolaceae
Description: eukaryotic LSU rRNA
Rfam family: Eukaryotic large subunit ribosomal RNA
Source: RNAcentral